AGGGAAUCUUCCACAAUGGACGCAAGUCUGAUGGAGCAACGCCGCGUGAGUGAAGAAGGCUUUCGGGUCGUAAAACUCUGUUGUUGGAGAAGAAUGGUCGGCAGAGUAACUGUUGUCGGCGUGACGGUAUCCAACCAGAAAGCCACGGCUAACUACGUGCCAGCAGCCGCGGUAAUACGUAGGUGGCAAGCGUUAUCCGGAUUUAUUGGGCGUAAAGCGAGCGCAGGCGGUUUUUUAAGUCUGAUGUGAAAGCCCUCGGCUUAACCGAGGAAGCGCAUCGGAAACUGGGAAACUUGAGUGCAGAAGAGGACAGUGGAACUCCAUGUGUAGCGGUGAAAUGCGUAGAUAUAUGGAAGAACACCAGUGGCGAAGGCGGCUGUCUGGUCUGUAACUGACGCUGAGGCUCGAAAGCAUGGGUAGCGAACAGGAUUAGAUACCCUGGUAGUCCAUGCCGUAAACGAUGAAUGCUAGGUGUUGGAGGGUUUCCGCCCUUGCAGUGCCGCAGCUAACGCAUUAAGCAUUCCGCCUGGGGAGUACGACCGCAAGGUUGAAAC
Molecule: ribosomal RNA, 554 nt
Filed under: uncultured bacterium
Lineage: Bacteria
Description: partial 16S ribosomal RNA
Rfam family: Bacterial small subunit ribosomal RNA
Source: RNAcentral